GCCGCUUUAGCUCAGCUGGUAGAGCACAUCAUUCGUAAUGAUGGGGUCACAGGUUCGAGUCCUGUAAGCGGCACCA
RNAcentral lists this transfer RNA (76 nucleotides) under Sphingomonas adhaesiva. Its description in RNAcentral is "tRNA-Thr". It matches the Rfam family "tRNA". From Rfam's summary of the family: Transfer RNA (tRNA) molecules are approximately 80 nucleotides in length. Their secondary structure includes four short double-helical elements and three loops (D, anti-codon, and T loops). Further hydrogen bonds mediate the characteristic L-shaped molecular structure. tRNAs have two regions of fundamental functional importance: the anti-codon, which is responsible for specific mRNA codon recognition, and the 3' end, to which the tRNAs corresponding amino acid is attached (by aminoacyl-tRNA synthetases). tRNAs cope with the degeneracy of the genetic code in two manners: having more than one tRNA (with a specific anti-codon) for a particular amino acid; and 'wobble' base-pairing, i.e. permitting non-standard base-pairing at the 3rd anti-codon position. Lineage: Bacteria; Pseudomonadati; Pseudomonadota; Alphaproteobacteria; Sphingomonadales; Sphingomonadaceae. The record is from RNAcentral. RNAcentral also lists the same sequence under 12 other names.